UGACAAGAAAUAACAAUACAAGGCAGUUAAAAUGCUUUGUAAUUGGAAUGAUAGAAAUUUAAACACUUUUUAAAGUAUCAAUUGGAGGGCAAGUCUGGUGCCAGCAGCCGCGGUAAUUCCAGCUCCAAUAGCGUAUAUUAAAAUUGUUGCAGUUAAAAAGCUCGUAGUUGAAUUUCUGUUAAAAAUAACCGGUCUGCUUUUAAUAAAAGUGGUAUCUUGGUGUGUUUUUAGCAAUAAUGUCCUUUGAAAUGUUUUUUACUUUAUUGUAAUAAAUAAUAUUCAGGAUUUUUACUUUGAGAAAAUUAGAGUGUUUCUAGCAGGCUAACGCUUUGAAUACUGCAGCAUGGAAUAAUAAAAUAGGAUUUUASUUCUACAUUAUUGGUUUUAAGAACUAAAUUAAUGAUUGAUAGGGACAGUUGGGGGCAUUUGUAUUUAACUGUCAAAGGUGAAAUUCUUAGAUUUGUUAAAGACAAACUACUGCGAAAGCAUUUGCCAAAGAUGUUUUCAUUAAUCAAGAACGAAAGUUAGGGGAUCGAAGACGAUCAGAUACCGUCGUAGUCUUAACUAUAAACUAUGCCGACUAGAGAU
Molecule: ribosomal RNA, 588 nt
Filed under: Hepatozoon felis
Lineage: Eukaryota; Apicomplexa; Hepatozoidae
Description: bacterial SSU rRNA
Rfam family: Eukaryotic small subunit ribosomal RNA
Source: RNAcentral